GGCCGUGAUAUUAUUUUAUUCAUGCUAGCAGAGAUCACACAUGAGGAAAUAAGCUGUUCUUAAAACUAGUCCAACGUCCAAACCCGUUGGACUAGCUAUUUCUAAAGUAAGGGUCUUACAAUAAUUUUUCAAAUUUAAAUUAAAAACAUACAUUAUGAAUAAUGAAAUUUAGAUAAAUCUAGAUGACAUACGUUUCUUCUCUGAUGUUGUUUUUAUGUUUUGAUUUUGCGUAGAAUAACAUGAGCACCAUGUUGUGGCUGAACAGAAAGCACCACAGAUGGAGCAUGAGCAUAUGUUUGAGAAAGUUCAAAUGAAAAAUUCUUUAAAAUCAAUGCCAUUGCCAUCUUUGCUUCCAACAGGGAAAAGUUUUGUCCAAUGCAGAUUCUAGGACCCGCUCCAAACGGAAAAUAUGAAAAUCUACCGUUUGUUGCUUUGGAAAUUCCACC
RNAcentral lists this long non-coding RNA (446 nucleotides) under Medicago truncatula (barrel medic). RNAcentral describes it as "lncRNA gene10180". Lineage: Eukaryota; Viridiplantae; Streptophyta; Magnoliopsida; Fabales; Fabaceae. The record is from RNAcentral.